Non-coding RNA from Paramuricea clavata, 76 nucleotides. The record is from the annotation of a GenBank genome assembly. NCBI's taxonomy places the organism in Eukaryota, Metazoa, Cnidaria, Anthozoa, Malacalcyonacea, Plexauridae.
UUCUCGGUUGCGCAGUUGGUUAUAGCGCGCUUAUCUAGAAACUAAGAGAUUGCGGGUUCGAUGCCCGCUCGUGUAC